GUGGUACUCCCUCCAUACCAAAAUUCUUGUCUUAAAUUUGUCUAAAUACGGAUGUAUCAAGUCAUGUUUUGGUAUUAGAUAUACAACCCUAAUCUAAGACAAGAAUUUUGGGACGGAGGGAGGAGUUU
Triticum aestivum (bread wheat) is the source of this 128-nucleotide non-coding RNA. The record is from Rfam. NCBI's taxonomy places the organism in Eukaryota, Viridiplantae, Streptophyta, Magnoliopsida, Poales, Poaceae.